Molecule: ribosomal RNA, 482 nt
Filed under: uncultured bacterium
Lineage: Bacteria
Description: bacterial SSU rRNA
Rfam family: Bacterial small subunit ribosomal RNA
Source: RNAcentral
UGGGGAAUCUUGGACAAUGGGGGCAACCCUGAUCCAGCCAUGCCGCGUGAGUGAUGAAGGCCUUAGGGUCGUAAAGCUCUUUCGCCUGUGAAGAUAAUGACGGUAGCAGGUAAAGAAACCCCGGCUAACUCCGUGCCAGCAGCCGCGGUAAUACGGAGGGGGUUAGCGUUGUUCGGAAUUACUGGGCGUAAAGCGCACGUAGGCGGACCAGAAAGUUGGGGGUGAAAUCCCGGGGGCUCAACCCCGGAACUGCCUCCAAAACUAUUGGUCUAGAGUUCGAGAGAGGUGAGUGGAAUUCCAAGUGUAGAGGUGAAAUUCGUAGAUAAUUUGGAGGAACACCAGUGGCGAAGGCGGCUCACUGGCUCGAUAACUGACGCUGAGGUGCGAAAAGUGUGGGGAGCAAAACAGGAUUAGAUACCCUGGUAGUCCACACCGUAAAACGAUGAAUGCCAGUCGUCGGGUAGCAUGCUAUUCGGUGACAC